RNAcentral lists this ribosomal RNA (253 nucleotides) under uncultured bacterium. RNAcentral's name for it is "partial 16S ribosomal RNA". It matches the Rfam family "Bacterial small subunit ribosomal RNA", at positions 524 to 776 of the family's 1533-position model. The record is from RNAcentral.
UACGUAGGGGGCAAGCGUUGUCCGGAAUCAUUGGGCGUAAAGAGCGUGUAGGCGGCUCGAUAAGUCUGCUGUGAAAGUCCAGGGCUCAACCCUGGAAGGCCGGUGGAAACUGUCGGGCUAGAGUCCGGAAGAGGCGAGUGGAAUUCCCGGUGUAGCGGUGAAAUACGCAGAUAUCGGGAGGAACACCAAUGGCGAAGGCAGCUCGCUGGGACGGUACUGACGCUGAGACGCGAAAGCGUGGGGAGCAAACAGG